UACAAAUAGUUCAGUUGGUAGAGCAUGAGACCUCUUAACCUCAGGGUCGUGGAUUCGAGCCCCACUCUGGGCAAAA
Non-coding RNA from Podarcis lilfordi (Lilford's wall lizard), 76 nucleotides. The record is from the annotation of a GenBank genome assembly. NCBI's taxonomy places the organism in Eukaryota, Metazoa, Chordata, Lepidosauria, Squamata, Lacertidae.